Molecule: non-coding RNA, 46 nt
Organism: Schistosoma margrebowiei
Lineage: Eukaryota; Metazoa; Platyhelminthes; Trematoda; Strigeidida; Schistosomatidae
Source: Rfam
UCACUGCUGAAUAGUCCAACAACAAGACGAAACGGCCGUCCAGUAA